RNAcentral lists this ribosomal RNA (133 nucleotides) under uncultured bacterium. Its description in RNAcentral is "partial 16S ribosomal RNA". The record is from RNAcentral.
GCACGUAGUUGGCCGGAGCUUCUUCUGCAGGUACCGUCAAUUUCGUCCCUGCUGAAAGCGGUUACAACCCGAAGGCCGUCUUCCCGCACGCGGCAUCGCUGCGUCAGGCUUUCGCCCAUUGCGCAAGAUUCCC